CCCUUAGAUGUUCUGGACCGCACGCGCGCUACACUGAAGGGAUCAGCGUGUUUUCCCUUCCCGAGAGGGACGGGUAACCCGCUGAACCCCCUUCGUGGUAGGGAUCGGAGCUUGCAAUUGUUCUCCGUGAACCAGGAAUUCCCAGUAAGCGCAAGUCAUAAGCUUGCGUUGAUUACGUCCCUGCCCUUUGUACACACCGCCCGUCGCUACUACCGAUUGAACGUUUUAGUGAGGUAUUUGGACUGGGCCUUGGGAGGUUUCGGCCUCCCUUGUUGCUCGGAAAGACUCCCAAACUUGAGCGUUUAGAGGAAGUAAAAGUCGUAACA
This 326-nucleotide ribosomal RNA is filed under the name uncultured eukaryote. RNAcentral's name for it is "partial 18S ribosomal RNA". It matches the Rfam family "Eukaryotic small subunit ribosomal RNA", at positions 1470 to 1796 of the family's 1831-position model. The record is from RNAcentral.